Molecule: long non-coding RNA, 2450 nt
Organism: Pan troglodytes (chimpanzee)
Lineage: Eukaryota; Metazoa; Chordata; Mammalia; Primates; Hominidae
Exons: 4
Source: RefSeq, a predicted model, not a curated record
GGCAACCCGCUGGGGUCCCUUUCCACACUGUGGGAGUUUUGUUCUUUUGCUCUUUGCAAUAAAUCUUGCUACUGCUCACUCUUUGGGUCCACGCUGCUUUUAUGAGCUGUAACACUCACCGGGAAGAUCUGCAGCUUCACUCCUGAGCCCAGCGAGACCACGAGCCCACCAGGAGGAAUGAACAACUCCAGACGCGCUACCUUAAGAGCUGUAACACUCACCGCGAAGGUCUGCAGCUUCACUCCUGAGCCAGCGAGACUACGAAGGAACCCACCAGAAGGAAGAAACUCCGAACACAUCUGAACAUCAGAAGGGACAGACUCCAGACGCGCAACCUUAAGAGCUGUAACACUCACUGCGAGGGUCCGCGGCUUCAUUCUUGAAGUCAGUGAGACCAAGAACCCACCAAUUCCGGACAGAAGGGCCUAGGGAGCAUGGAGUGCAGGGACGCUGCCGGCUGCCUUUCCCCUUUCUCUCCUUCCCUUCCCCACGCAGUCAGUCUGGGGAAUCCCAUUCUUUUCUUUUCUUUUUUUUUUAAUUUGGAGAUGGAGUCUCAUUCUGUUGCCCAGGCUGGAGUGCAAUGGCCCAAUCUCGGCUCUCACUGCAACCUCUGCCUCUAGGGUUCAAGCGAUUCUCCUGCCUCAGUCUCCCAAGUAGCUGGGAUUACAGGCGCGUGCCACCACACCCAGCUAAUUUUGUGUUUUUAGUAGAGAUGGGGUUUCACCAUGUUAGCCAGGCUGGUCUCGAACUCCUGAUUUCAGGUGAUCCACCCCCCUCGGCCUCCCAAAGUGCUGGGAUUACAGGUGUGAGCCACUGCGCCCGGCCUGGGGAAUCCCAUUCUUAUGAUGUGAUCACCCAGUGUCCCUGUGUCAGACCUCUGGUGCCAAGAGAGACCUUAGAGAUCACCUGAUCCCACGCCUUCAUUUUACAGAUGGAGGAACUGAGGCUCAGGGAGGUGAUUUUUCCAAGGUCACCUGCCUAGGCUUCCUGGAGCCAGCUCUGUGCUCUUCUAAAACCACCACUUACUUUCCAAUGGAGGGAGGUGACGUGUCGAGCACCUCUCACCUCUAUUAGCCAGCCUGGUGUCUCCUGAAAAGCAGCGAGCAUGUGCAUGUGUGCACUGAUAAUAUGUACCCCUGCAAGUCAGAGAGGGCACGUGCACACCUACGCGUCUUUGCAAACUGCUGGACAUCAUCUGCUGAUGCGGAGGUCCUGCUCUGUGACCCACACUCUGAGCUCUAAGGAGAAGGAAACACACCCACACCCACACCCUUGAGAACUCACCACAGGGAAGAGUCCACCGAGGCAGACCCAGAACAGAGUGUAGAGAGCAAUGGGAACUGCCUGGGAAUUGUUCUCAAUUGUGUCCUCACACCCACACACUGACCUCCCGGGGCUCUGCGGCCAGCCUCCCUGUGCCUUCCUCACCCCGGGGAGAGUCUGAACUCCCAGAAUGCGCGUGUGUGCAUCCCCUGCCCCUGCAGAAGACUCUCAACGGAUCCAGCUAAGAGUCACCAGCCCAAACGCAAGCCCAAGUCUUGGCGUGACAGGGGCAUUCAGCACUCACAGUUUAUCUGUGGAGAAGAAUCCCAGACACUGGGUUUCAGAAUCAAGGGCACUAGUGUGGAGGAAGUCUCCAUCAGCCCUCACCUGACUCCUGGCGCUGUGGGUCCCUGAGGGCCCCAGGCAGCUCACCAAUUCUCUGCUUCCCAUGGAUGCUUGUGGUUCCUGGCUGAGCUCAGUGUCUCUCCCCAGGGUAACAGGACUAGGGGAGUCUCCCUUCACAGUUUGAAAGCACCUUAGUUCCUCCUACUGUCUCAAACCUCUCCAUGGGCGCUGGCAGACCUGCUAUGGUUUUCAUCCUACAGAUGAGGCUCCAGAGGCUUGAGGGCGAAUGGUGCUCAAGGAAUCACAGGCCAGAGGUGAGAACUGGAGAAAGGGAAACUCUCCCAGUCCCUGAGAGUGGUCAUUACAGACUGGGAAAUCGCCCUCCAGCUGAUGGACAAACUGUCUCUGCAACUCCAGGCUCUUCUGGAAGCUGCCACCAAUGCCUUUUCCACAUGGGGAGCUGCUUGAGGUUCCUUCCACCCUUAACUCAAAUGAUGACAACUCCAGCUUUUGGUUACUCAGGCCAAACUCUCAGAGUCAUUCUAGACCCUUCUCUUUCAAAAUGUACACCCAAUCUGUCAGCCAGUCCUGUCAGCUCUAUUUUAAAAUAUAUGCAGAAACUAAACGAUAGUGGUAGAAAAUAGAUUCGAGGGGCUUGGAGUGUGGAAUAAGGGGGAUACAAAAGAACAGGAGAAAAUUUGGAAGCUGAUGGGAAUGUGAAGUAUCUUGACUGUGGAGAUGGUUGAGUGGGUGUAUAUGUGUGUCAAAAUACAAUAAAUUGUACACUAUAUGUGUGGUUUAAUAUGUGCUAGUUAUGCCUCAAUAAAACUGUUUUUUUUUUU